AAUUACGAAUCCCAAGAGGGUUAUAUUAUUUUGAUACAGAUAGUCGACUUUACUGCAGGAGAAGAAAACCAUUGCUGGAGAACAUUUGUUGCUACGCUGACAUCUUCACUAAGCAUUCGUUGAUGCUUAGCUGUUAACAGAAUGGCAGUGUCGUCAGCAAACAAGGUGACAUUCGCAUCUGGCACGGACAAUGGCAGAUCAUUUAUAUAAAUGAUGAAGAGCAACGGCCCAAGAACCGAGCCCUGUGGGACACCGCAGCUCACUGGAAGAGCACCAUCACUCGACACCCCACCAAACUCAACAUACUGAAACCUGUUACUAAGAUACGAUUUUAUUAACUUUAGAGGGAUACCUCUGACGCCAUAAAAUUUUAAUUUGUUUAAGAGCACAUCGUGAUCGACGCAGUCAAACGCUUUCGUAAGGUCGUACAGAAGUGCCUUUGAUACGUCGCCAGCAUCGAAACCCCGCACCACACUGUUCACAAAGUGCAUAAGUGCAUGGGUCGUGGAUUUCCCCUCACGAAAGCCAAACUGCGAUUCACACAGAAGUUUAUUUUCCUCAAAAAACAGUGACAGGCGAGCCUUCAGGGCUUUCUCAAUGACUUUACCGAAUAUAGGGGUAAUUGCAAUGGGCCUAAAGUUAUUUGGUAUCCGAAGGAAAUACGCCACUCGAAAACACUGCGUUCGUUAUGGCUGCCAGGGGACCCACGAUGUACUCAAUGAGACCGGGCUUAAGAAGAAAGAUUUACACGGAGAGGGUGUUUUCGUAAGGUACACAUAUGGGUCACUGGAUUUCCCAAUGGAUGAUACUAGGUCAUUUACUACAUUGGAGAAGUAAGAGUUAAAUUCGUUGGGUGUGAUUGAGUUGGGUAUAGCCUUUGAGGCUCGGUUAGUUUCAUGGUUAAUCAAGGUCCAACAACUUUUGCUCAUGUUGCUGGCUCUAGUUAUAAAAUUGGCAUAUGCCUUGGAUUUUGUUUCUUUGAUCAUUCUUUUGUAGUUAGCAUUAGCCAGUCUAUACUCAGCCCAACUGUCGCGUGGGGAAAAUAUUCGAC
This is a long non-coding RNA of Cylas formicarius (sweet potato weevil), 1051 nucleotides long. RefSeq lists it as uncharacterized. Lineage: Eukaryota; Metazoa; Arthropoda; Insecta; Coleoptera; Brentidae. The transcript is spliced from 4 exons. The record is from RefSeq and is a predicted model, not a curated record.